RNAcentral lists this long non-coding RNA (2071 nucleotides) under Fragaria vesca (wild strawberry). Its description in RNAcentral is "long non-coding RNA (FVES_LNC001908)". The record is from RNAcentral. Lineage: Eukaryota; Viridiplantae; Streptophyta; Magnoliopsida; Rosales; Rosaceae.
CUGGACAUUGUUGAAUCUAGUUGAAUUUUAUACUAUAGCCAUGUUUUACUAUAAUGAUCAUAUCAUAUGGAUGAAUUUUCAUUUUGUGAAUUUUAGUCAUUGGAAUCACAACGUGCCUACUAAUGUGAUAUAACUUGUUUGGUAGGUUAUAUGCAAGUGUACAACUUUGUAAACCAACUACACACAGGAAGCAAAAUUUUCAAAAAUCUCAUAAAAUAAGAUGUGAUCGGAAUAGUGAAAUACGGUUAUGGUUGGAAAAUCAUGUAUUUCGGGUAAAGAUUGGGUUCUGAUAAAAGCGGUCAACCUUUGUACGCUUAAUCUUUCCUAUGAGGAGCCUUGUCUUCGGGAGGUAAACAUCUUCAAAUUUUUAUAUGUGCGGUUUUGUCUCAUCUAUGUGAGAGUUUAACGUGUGGAAGAAUCGACCAGACUAGGUCACGGAAAGGUAGGUAAGAGCGUUUCCGUGUAAUAAGUGACGAUUGAUUAGGGUUGAACGUUUCGAUUGAGCCCCAAACAUUGCCGAAUCCAGUUGAAUUUUAUACCAUAGCCCUGUUUUACUAUAACGAUCAUAUCGGACGGACGAAUUUUCAUUUUGUGAAUUUUAGUCAUUGGAAUCACAACAUGCAUACUAAUGUGGUAUAAUUUGUUUAGUAGGUUAUACAACUUUGUGAACCAACUAUAGAGAGACAGCAAAAUUUAAAAAAAUCUUGUGAAAUAAGAUGUGAUCAGAAUAGUGAAAUACGGUUAUGGUUGAAAAAUCACGUAUUUCAGGUAAAGUUUGGGUUCCGAUAAAAGCAGUCAACCUUUGGACGCUUAAUCUUCCCUAUGAGGAGCCAUGUCUUCAGGAGGUAAAUGUCUCCAAAUUUUUAUAUGUGUAAAGUCUCAUCUAUGUGAGAGUUUAACUUGUGGAAGAAUCGACCAAACUAGGUCACGGAGGAGGUAAAUGUCUCCAAAUUUUUAUAUGUGUAAAGUCUCAUCUAUGUGAGAGUUUAACGUGUGGAAGAAUCGACCAAACUAGGUCACGGAGAGGUAGGUAAGAGCGUUUCCGUGUGAUAAGUGACGAUGGAUUAGGGUUGAAUGCUUCGAUCGAGCCCCGAACGUUGCCGAAUCCAAUUGAAUUUUAAACUAUAGCCUUGUUUUACUAUAACGAUCAUAUCGGACGGACGAAUUUUCAUUUUGUGAAUUUUAGUCAUUGGAAUCACAACGUACAUACUAAUGUGGUAUAAUUUGUUUAGUAUGUUAUACAACUUUGUGAACCAACUAUAGAUAGGAAGCAAAAUUUUCAAAAAUCACGUGAAAUAAGAUGUGAUCGGAAUAGUGAAAUACGGUUAUGGUUGAAAAAUCAUGUAUUUCGGGUACAGAUUGGGUUCUGAUAAAAGCAAUCAACAUUUGUACGCUUAAUCUUCCUUAUGAGGAGCCUUAUCUUUGGGAGGUAAACAUCUCCAAAUUUUUAUAUGUGCGGUUCCGUCUCAUCUAUGUGAGAGUUUAACGUGUAGAAGAAUCGACCAGACUAGGUCACGGAGAGGUCGGUAAGAGCAUUUCUGUGUGAUAAGUGACGAUAGAUUAGGGUUGAACGUUUCGAUUGAGCCCCGAACGUUGCCGAAUCCAGUUGAAUUUUAUACCAUAGCCCUGUUUUACUAUAAUGAUCAUAUCAGAUGGACAAAUUUUCAUUUUGUGAAUUUUAGUAAUUGGAAUCACAAUGUGUAUACUAAUGUGGUAUAACUUGUUUAAUAAGUUAUACAACUUUGUAAACCAACUACACACAGGAAGCAAAAUUUUCAAAAAUCUCGUAAAAUAAGAUGUAAUCGGAAUAGUGAAAUACGGCUAUGGGUGAAAAAUCACGUAUUUCAAGUAACGUAGUGAAAUACGUGUUCAGCGUAGUGAAAUACGGUCAUGGUAAUAAUUAACCUUUUUUUGAUAAUGUUCGGGUCAAGCAAAUCUGCUAUCACUGUUAGCUCUUGUUCUUUGAGUAGUCUUUAACUUACCACGAGUGUUUAUCUUGCUCUAGCAAAUCUGCUGUCAUUGUUGCUCUUUCUUUUGUCGGUAGUCUUAGCUUAUUACAAGUAUAUGUCAG